Non-coding RNA from Vicia faba (fava bean), 207 nucleotides. The record is from the annotation of a GenBank genome assembly. NCBI's taxonomy places the organism in Eukaryota, Viridiplantae, Streptophyta, Magnoliopsida, Fabales, Fabaceae.
AUGGAGGUUAUGCAGAAGGCGAUGGAGAAGGAGAAUAUUGAAGCAGGUGAAGAUUGGGAGAAGAAGAAGAGAGAAUUUUUCUGUGAUUUUCCUGUGAAUUCAAGAAUGAAUCGUCAAAGAUGGCGUCUUGGAGCAAGAUUCAUCAAGCAUUUUUGGGACUUAUUUGGCCCGAUUUUGACAAUUGUAUGCAGGGCUGGUUUGGUCUAA